GUUUGUCUUCAAGGCAGGGUGUAAUUCCCGACCGGCGGUAUAGCCCGCAACCCACAAUCGUGGUGGAAUCUGGUGAAAUUCCAGGUGCCGACAGUAAAGUCUGGUAUGCAGAAGAUUAAU
The sequence is a regulatory RNA element, 120 nucleotides long. It matches the Rfam family "FMN riboswitch aptamer (RFN element)". Rfam says of the family: The RFN element is a highly conserved domain that is found frequently in the 5'-untranslated regions of prokaryotic mRNAs that encode for flavin mononucleotide (FMN) biosynthesis and transport proteins. This element is a metabolite-dependent riboswitch that directly binds FMN in the absence of proteins. The record is from Rfam.